UAGCAUAUCAAUAAGCGGAGGAAAAGAAACCAACCGGGAUUGCCCUAGUAACGGCGAGUGAAGCGGCAACAGCUCAAAUUUGAAAUCUGGAGCCAUUUGGCUUCCGAGUUGUAAUUUGCAGAGGGAGCCUCGGAGGGCGAGACGGUCCAAGUGCCUUGGAACAGGAUACCGCAGAGGGUGAGAGUCCCGUAUCCGGCCGAUCUUGCGCUCCGUGUGAGGCCCCUUCGACGAGUCGAGUUGUUUGGGAAUGCAGCUCCAAGCGGGUGGUAAAUUCCAUCUAAAGCUAAAUACUGGCCAGAGACCGAUAGCGAACAAGUAGAGUGAUCGAAAGAUGAAAAGCACUUUGAAAAGAGAGUCAAACAGUACGUGAAAUUGUUGAAAGGGAAGCGCAUGGGGGCAGACUUGGACGCGGGGUUCAGCGUUUCUAUUGGAGCGUGUACUUCCCCGCGUGCAGGCCAGCAUCGGUUCCGGGGGCCGGACAAAGACGUUGGGAAUGUGGCUCCCCUCGGGGAGUGUUAUAGCCCGGCGUGCAAUGCGGCCACCUGGGACCGAGGACCGCGCCUUGUGCAAGGAUGCUGGCGUAAUGGCCUCAUGCGGCCCGUCUUGAAACACGGACCAAGGAGUCUAACAUCUAUGCGAGUGUUUGGGUGGCAAGCCCGGACGCGCAAUGAAAGUGAACGGAGGUGGGAGUCUGUUACAGGACGCACCAUCGACCGAUCCGGACGUCUUCUGAAGGAUUUGAGUAAGAGCAUAGCUGUUGGGACCCGAAAGAUGGUGAACUAUGCGUGAAUAGGGUGAAGCCAGAGGAAACUCUGGUGGAGGCUCGCAGCGGUUCUGACGUGCAAAUCGAUCGUCAAAUUUGCGUAUAGGGGCGAAAGACUAAUCGAACCAUCUAGUAGCUGGUUCGUGCCGA
Molecule: ribosomal RNA, 913 nt
Filed under: Scolecobasidium camelliicola
Lineage: Eukaryota; Fungi; Ascomycota; Dothideomycetes; Venturiales; Sympoventuriaceae
Description: partial large subunit ribosomal RNA
Rfam family: Eukaryotic large subunit ribosomal RNA
Source: RNAcentral